UUAACUACUGAAUAAUGCUACCAGGAUGCUAAAAAUGAUGAUGUUAACCCAUUCCAGUACAGUAUUGUUUUAAAAUGAAAAAGUAUUUAAAACCAAGAACUCUGCCUUUAUGAUGCUAAGCUGAUACUAUUUUUUGUCUUAUCUCUCUUUUAAGCCCAUCAUCCUCUUUUUGCUUUGUUGCUAUCACCUUCCAUUCUCUUCUCAUUGCCUCCCAGGCAAGUAGCUGGUCAGUCAUUGUUCAGUGUCCAGCUUCCAAAGCCUAGACAACCUUGCUGUAGCCUAAAACUAAUUGUCUUUGCUCCAAAUAACUCUCUUUCCUUGAGCUGUUGUGAGCUUUGAGGCAGGUGGCUCAAGCUAGAGAUAAAACAGAACCUUCUGGGCAGUCCCCUGUUAAUUAUUUUCAGCCCAGGCUUUUGCUAGAUGGAAUGGAAAAGUAACUUCAUUUGACACAAAGCUUUUAAAUCAGGUAAAUUGUCAGGGGAGAGAGUUAGCAUGUAUGGAUGUAAGGAUGAGGGAAAUGAAGCAAGAGGAAGCUCUUGCCAUGAUGAGACAUGCAGCUGCCUACCUAACGAGGACUUCAAGCCCCACCACACAGCAUGCUUUCUUUCUCUCCUGGCUUGGGGUAAGAAGUGGCUGUGGAGCUUGGCAACGCUAAUCUCAAUGUCAUAACAUAUAGUUUAGGCUGACGAUAAAGAAGAAAGAUUUUAAGUUUGUAGUAAAAGUGGUCUCUGCUGGGGAAGGGAUUUUUUUUUUCUUUAAUAACAAGGAGAUUUCUUAGUUCAUAUAUCAAGAAGCCUUGAAGUUGGGUGUUUACAGAAUUGGUAAAUACAGCAACUCAUAUAGAAUUUUGAUGAUUCCAUGAGCUGCUCAUCAAAAUUAUUUCCUCUUUCUGCUCUGCCAUCUUCAGGAUAUUAUUGGUUGCUCCCCUCAUAGUAGUAAGAUGUCUGUGGCGUUUCCGAACAUCCAAAAAAAGAAAGAAUUUUAGGAGGUGGAGUAGGGUCAAACAUAAAAUAUAUAUACAUAUGUGCAUUGUUUAGAACAUUAAACUAUUUCACUCAGAGUACUUCCCUCCCAAAGAGGGAUGUUUGAAAGAACUCUGAAGGAGAGAAGGAAUUAAUUGGGUUGCUAAUUUCCUCUCCACUGCUGGACAUGACAUGGAGAGGCUGUGGGACAGGAUCUGUAGGCAGCUUCUAAGAGAGAACUUCACAUAGGAAGGGAUCUGAGAACACAUUGCCAGGGGCUUGAGAAGGUUACUGAGUGAGUUAUUGGGAGUCUUAAUAAAAUAAGUUAGAUGUUAGGUCCAUUCAUUAAUUAGUUCCAGUUUCUCGUUGAAAUGACUAAAAGCUAGAAGGCUUCCCCCCACAUUGUUGUGCCCCUUCAUUCAUUUUUUUUUUUUUUUUUGGCUCUGUUAACAUCUACGCUAAUGUAUAGAACUGCCUGGGGGGCAAGGUUAGCAAUCUCUUCACUACCCUGAUUCUAGAUUCCUGGCUCUACCCUGUCUGUCCCUUUUCUCUUAGCAGAUCUUUCUCUUCCCUGAACGUUUUCUUCUUUCCCUGGACAGGCAGCCUCCUGUGUGUAUAUUCAGAGGCGGUGAUGACUUGCUGUCCAGGCAGCUCCAUCCUGCUGACAGAAUGCUCAGGGUCAGUGAACCACUGCUUCUCUUUUGAAAGUACAGCUAGCUGCCACUUUCACAUGGUCUCCAGAGUGUCUCCACCUACACCCUGUGCUCCCCUGCCACACUGAUGGCUCAAGACAAGGCUGGCAAACCCUCCCAGAAACAUCUCUGGCCCAGAGAGCCACUCUCAUGAGGCAUUGCCAAGCCAAGCGCUCACGUUGAAUCAGUGAACCAGCCACAGAGCAAAAGAGCGUUUGUUUUCAGUCCCCUCUGUCUGGGUCAGAACCAGAGAUCAGGUUGAAUGCCCCCUGCUUGCUCGGUAAGGAUGCUCCACCUGAGUCAGUGCUCUCAACUGGCAGUGCAAUACUUGUAGAAGUAGGAGAAAACAGUCCCCAUUGGGAAGAAGCAAGGGUAAGAACCCAAGUGCCUCACCUUGAAAUGAGGCCCUGUUCCCUGGAGUCAGGGUGGACUGCAAAGCUUUGGCUGA
This is an RNA transcript of Sapajus apella (tufted capuchin), 2102 nucleotides long. RefSeq lists it as uncharacterized. The transcript has a single exon. NCBI's taxonomy places the organism in Eukaryota, Metazoa, Chordata, Mammalia, Primates, Cebidae. The record is from RefSeq and is a predicted model, not a curated record.